UUCCCUAACGGGUCGGUGGUAAGAGGUAGGGAGCUAAGGAGAGGGAGAGGGAACAGAAAGCGGCGGCGGUGGCCGCUGGAGGAGUGUCGACGACGGUGGUGGGUGCGGGAGGGGGUGCAGGCUCCGACGGUGGGGAAGAGAGGAGGAGAGUGGAAGAGGAGUGGUAGGUGCUGGGGGAGGGGAGGGGGAGCGGGGUUUAGCUCGUCGUCCGGGCCUGACUGCGUCCGAGUCUAGGCCGUCCGGGUGUUGGGACCAAGGCGAAGUCCUGCGGUACCUGUAUGUCGGUACCUAUUCCUCUUGUAGAGAGAUAGAGAGAAACGACUUAGUUCAACCACGACGACGUUGGAGUGGGGGAGGGGGGUUGUUCGUCGGGGUUGGGAUCGGGAGGAAGGUACUAUUGAUCCUCCACAUCGUGUCUACAAUCGUUUCUUUAAACUAUGGAAUUAUUGGUUAUUUUUAUACUACUACGAUCUCCAACGACGGUACCUCUUUCUUCAAUGUCGAUACACACAGCUCUUCCUAGUUCUUUACUUUCGGUACGUCGAACGAUUAAGUUUUGCCAAGAAAAGAACUAACAAAACUAUCAGUGAUAAACAUUCAAUAGACAGGUUAUACUUUAGUAUCACUAAUAAUGACAUCAGGUUCGAACUCAUACAUAACGAUGUUGUGACGAACAAAUUCCCCUUUUUCUCGAGGUGAUAUUUGACUGUACGGUUUAUAGAACUAUCUCUUUUAUACCACCUAUUAGUAUAUGAGGCAUAAUAAAUCAGACUGAACCUGUUUCAAACGGUGACCGUUUUGAAACUCUCUACUCUUCAAUAAUGAAUACUUAGUUCAAAGCGUAUUUUUUUAGAGUUUUUUUUUUUUUUUUGUAGUUCUCAACGUCCAAUAUGGUGCAAGACAUCGAUAAUAAUAUAUACAUUAACUCUUUAGGUGUGAUUGUAAUCGUAGGAGUCGCUCAGUCACAAUGAUACUAGGAACGUUACUUGUCUAUCUAGAAGUACGUACCUUGACCAAGUCUCCUACUUGGACAGUAUGAGUACCGCAUGCAACGACCACAUGGGCGACGAUGGCCGGUUCUUCUUAUUUUUCCUGGCCUCCCUCAUAUAAAAAGAGGACUAUCCUAAUAACGUGAGUGGUAAACUCAUGAGUCCAUAAACAAGAGUAGAAAUACUACUACCAUUACUUACAAGUCCCGUACGUCAUAAAAGCUCAGUAAAACUGAAGAACGGUAUACAACCGGCUGAGAGUAAGCCAAGUCUAUAAAGAGAAGGAACGAAACCGAGCUUCAAGAAUGAACGUUUUCACUUUGUGAUAGUCAACUUUAGACUACCGGUGUUAGUACAAAUGAGAAACACGUGAACUUAAUCCAAAUCGUUUUUUUAGGUAAAAAAAUUUGUAAGUUCUGUCAUCUUUAAUCCUUUCUGAGGAUGACUGUAUAUAUAAUUAUAAAGUAUGAUUGUUCAAUGUACAUCGUACAAAAAACAAUGUUAUGUAAAUCACCAUGUAUAUAUAAAGUAUGUUUGUUAGGGAUAUAUAUAUCGGAGCUCCGUCAAUUAGUCCAAAGACUUAACCAAGUCUAAGAGAUGUCCAAAUGCUAGAAGUAACAACCACUGCGUUUAAAAACGUGACGAUGAUUAACAUGAUAUACAAUAAGAAAUCAUCCCUAUAACCGUACCCCUAUUGUAUAAUUUUGUUCUUAUUAGUAGUGAGAGUGUCUAUGUAAUGAUGCAAGAAAACAAAGUAACUCUGGAUAAAACAAAUGAACAGAGUAGAGCUCUGUUUGAAGAGACUUAAAACAACUAAGUGUAACUUAUUGUGUAAACUCGCCUUCCACAACUCACCCGCUGAAGUCCCUAACCACUCAAGGUUGAGUUAGUACAGAGGGACGUGGGGUGAUUUAGACUAAGAAUGAAAAAAAAUAGAGCGGACUAUAAUCAAGAACCAUAAGAGGGACGGAUUAAUAAAAGAAAGAACAAGGGUCUCAAGAAUGAAUGAUGAGGAAUACAAGUAUUUACUACCACCCUGAUAAUAUACGAGGAAUGGCUACAUUAUAUAACCAACCAAAACUAGUUUUAGUUUACCCGAAGAAGAUCCAAACGAUCUUUUACUACGUUCUGUUGUUCCUUCCUGGACUAGUCGGCCGCCUGCACAGCCGACGACGUCGACCACCAAGAAAUCCGCUCGUUCCCAUCGCAGCAGGAAGAGGACGAGUUCUGUGACGCAGUUAGAACCACCGUGCGCGUUGGUGACCAACGUGAUGCUACUCGUGCUUAAGAGUCAGCAGCUCUACGGUAGUAAGUCGUUACUCCUUCCGCCGAACCACCCCAGCCGCCUCCCACAACAGACCAACACCACCUGCACUUCCGCCUGCUUAAGUAAUGUUUCAAGAUACACAUCUACUUGAUGUACUAAUUCUCCUCGUUAGUAUACAUUACGUAUUCGACAUGUACAGCACAAUAGUUAGUCUCCAUUUUAGGUUACUUUUCCGCCGUGGGAUGGACCGUGGCGUGUUUGAAAGAGAGUCCUCCGCGGUGCCCACCGCGGGGUUGG
This 2553-nucleotide ribosomal RNA is filed under the name Triticum aestivum (bread wheat). RNAcentral describes it as "partial small subunit ribosomal RNA". Lineage: Eukaryota; Viridiplantae; Streptophyta; Magnoliopsida; Poales; Poaceae. The record is from RNAcentral.